CAGCCGCCACGGGAAUACGAAGGGGGCUAGCGUUGCUCGGAAUGACUGGGCGUAAAGGGCGCGUAGGCGGCGAUCAAAGUCAGGCGUGAAAUUCCUGGGCUCAACCUGGGGGCUGCGCUUGGUACUUGGUUGCUUGAGUGGGGAAGAGGGUCGUGGAAUUCCCAGUGUAGGGGUGAAAUUCGUAGAUAUUCGGAAGAACACCAGUGGCGAAGGCGACUCGCUGGACAAGUAUUGACGCUGAGGUGCGAAAGCGUGGGGAGCAAACAGGAUUAGAUACCCGGGUAGUCCCUGUCUCUUAUAC
Molecule: ribosomal RNA, 301 nt
Filed under: uncultured bacterium
Lineage: Bacteria
Description: partial 16S ribosomal RNA
Rfam family: Bacterial small subunit ribosomal RNA
Source: RNAcentral